This 31-nucleotide non-coding RNA is filed under the name Rattus norvegicus (Norway rat). The record is from RNAcentral. Lineage: Eukaryota; Metazoa; Chordata; Mammalia; Rodentia; Muridae.
UGAGUGUAGAUUCUACUGUUCUCUGUAGUUU